Molecule: ribosomal RNA, 865 nt
Filed under: Campylobacter upsaliensis
Lineage: Bacteria; Pseudomonadati; Campylobacterota; Epsilonproteobacteria; Campylobacterales; Campylobacteraceae
Description: bacterial SSU rRNA
Rfam family: Bacterial small subunit ribosomal RNA
Source: RNAcentral
UCUUGGUGUAGGGGUAAAAUCCGUAGAUAUCAAGAAGAAUACCCAUUGCGAAGGCGAUCUGCUGGAACUUAACUGACGCUAAGGCGCGAAAGCGUGGGGAGCAAACAGGAUUAGAUACCCUGGUAGUCCACGCCCUAAACGAUGUAUGCUAGUUGUUGGGAUGCUAGUCAUCUCAGUAAUGCAGCUAACGCAUUAAGCAUACCGCCUGGGGAGUACGGUCGCAAGAUUAAAACUCAAAGGAAUAGACGGGGACCCGCACAAGCGGUGGAGCAUGUGGUUUAAUUCGAAGAUACGCGAAGAACCUUACCUGGGCUUGAUAUCCUAAGAACCUUAUAGAGAUAUGAGGGUGCUAGCUUGCUAGAACUUAGAGACAGGUGCUGCACGGCUGUCGUCAGCUCGUGUCGUGAGAUGUUGGGUUAAGUCCCGCAACGAGCGCAACCCUCGUCCUUAGUUGCUAACGAUUCGGUCGAGCACUCUAAGGAGACUGCCUUCGUAAGGAGGAGGAAGGUGGGGACGACGUCAAGUCAUCAUGGCCCUUACGCCCAGGGCGACACACGUGCUACAAUGGCAUAUACAAUGAGACGCAAUACCGCGAGGUGGAGCAAAUCUAUAAAAUAUGUCCCAGUUCGGAUUGUUCUCUGCAACUCGAGAGCAUGAAGCCGGAAUCGCUAGUAAUCGUGAAUCAGCCAUGUCACGGUGAAUACGUUCCCGGGUCUUGUACUCACCGCCCGUCACACCAUGGGAGUUGAUUUCACUCGAAGUGGAAAUACUAAACUAGUUAUCCCCCACAGUGGAAUCAGCGACUGGGGUGAAGUCGUAACAAGGUAACCGUAGGAGAACCUGCGGUUGGAUCACCUCCUUUCUA